UCGCCGCAGCUAGAGAAAGCCUGCCAGCAGCAAUGAAGACCCAACACAGCCAAAAGUAAAUAAAUUUAUUUAUUAAAUAAAUAAAUAAAUAAAAAGGAAGGUUUCAAUUGAGACUUGUCUCCUCUCGCGACUGACUCCGGGUGUUGGUACAACCCGAGGGAAGUUGCUGUGAUGGUGUGAGUGGUGAACGACCUGAUGAAGGGCAUAAACGGAACAGAAGUGCUGGGACCCAUGGAAUGCGUGUAGGCUGUGAAAGGAGCUCUGACUGGAAUAUCAGCAGAGGGUGGGAAUGCCCCAGGAGGGGUACAGGAGUGAUUUCUGAGGCCCUGAGAGAGAGUACAGCUAACAGGGCUCCCAGCCCUCCAUCAGCCUUCAGUGAAGGAUUGGAUUGGAUGGAGUUGAACAGGACCCUGAAGAAGGCAGCAUUUGAAACACCUGUGAGAGCAAUUUGAGACCUUUAGGAGGAAGGGGUAAUGAUGUCAGAUAUAUGCUGAUUUGUGUUUUUUUGUUGUUGUUGUUUUGUUUUAAAGGAAGAAAAAUAAAUGUUUUCAACUUUAUUUGGUUAAUGUUGCCUUAACUGAAUGGAAAAGACUCAGUGGACUCCAGUUAUAACAGAUACUCUGAAUGCUGCCAGAAUUGUUUGUAGGAGGUUACAACUUGUUCUCAACACUUACAGUCAUAGAAUCAGGAAUCUGGCUCAGUUUACUGAGAAAUUCUGUAGAAACCACAGUGCCACACAGAGCUACCUGCAUGACGACGGCCCAGGGCAUACGGGCAGCUUAGAUGGUACCAAGGGCAAAGCAGGACAAGGCCUGGAAGAAUGAGGAAGAGGUGGUGACCAAGUGUCACUGGCCAACAAGGUCAUGAGAAGGCAUAAAGCAGAUGAGAAGACGGAGAAUAGAAAGUAAAUUGUUCGCCUAGAUCUUCCAGCACUACAUUGAAAAACGUAGUGAGUGGUUGGGACUUCCGUGGUGGCGCCGUGGUUGAGAAUCCACCUGCCAAUGCAGGGGACAUGGGUUCGAGCCCUGUUCCGGGAAGAUCCGACAUGCCGCGGAGCAAC
Molecule: non-coding RNA, 1060 nt
Organism: Delphinapterus leucas (beluga whale)
Lineage: Eukaryota; Metazoa; Chordata; Mammalia; Artiodactyla; Monodontidae
Source: RefSeq, a predicted model, not a curated record